This 253-nucleotide ribosomal RNA is filed under the name uncultured Neochlamydia sp. RNAcentral's name for it is "partial 16S ribosomal RNA". It matches the Rfam family "Bacterial small subunit ribosomal RNA", at positions 524 to 776 of the family's 1533-position model. The record is from RNAcentral. Lineage: Bacteria; Pseudomonadati; Chlamydiota; Chlamydiia; Parachlamydiales; Parachlamydiaceae.
UACGUAGGGUGCAAGCAUUAAUCGGAUUUAUUGGGCGUAAAGGGCGCGUAGGCGGGUUUGUAAGUCAGACGUGAAAUCCCGGGGCUCAACCCCGGAACAGCAUUUGAAACUACAGACCUCGAGGGUAGGCGGAGAAAAUGGAAUUCCACAAGUAGCGGUGAAAUGCGUAGAUAUGUGGAAGAACACCGGUGGCGAAGGCGGUUUUCUAGCUUAUACCUGACGCUGAGGCGCGAAAGCAAGGGGAUCAAACAGG